GAUGAAGAACGUAGCGAAAUGCGAUAAGUAGUGUGAAUUGCAGAAUUCAGUGAAUCAUCGAAUCUUUGAACGCACAUUGCGCCCUUUGGUAUUCCUUAGGGCAUGCCUGUUCGAGCGUCAUUUAAACCUUCAAGCUCAGCUUGGUGUUGGGUGACUGUCCGCUUCACCGCGGACUCGCCUCAAAAUUAUUGGCGGCCGGUACAUUGGCUCUCGAGCGCAGCAGAAACGCGUAACUCGAGGUCCUCGUGCUGGCUCCCAGAAGCUAUCUUCACAAUUUUGACCUCGGAUCAGGUAGGGAUACCCGCUGAACUUAAGCAUAUCAAUAAGCGGAGG
Molecule: unclassified non-coding RNA, 333 nt
Filed under: soil metagenome
Description: partial contains 5.8S ribosomal RNA, internal transcribed spacer 2, and large subunit ribosomal RNA
Rfam family: 5.8S ribosomal RNA (bases 1-120)
Source: RNAcentral